AUUGAACGCUGGCGGCAGGCCUAACACAUGCAAGUCGAACGGUAACAGAAAGCAGCUUGCUGCUUUGCUGACGAGUGGCGGACGGGUGAGUAAUGUCUGGGAAACUGCCUGAUGGAGGGGGAUAACUACUGGAAACGGUAGCUAAUACCGCAUAACGUCGCAAGACCAAAGAGGGGGGCCUUCGGGCCUCUUGCCAUCGGAUGUGCCCAGAUGGGAUUAGCUAGUAGGUGGGGUAACGGCUCACCUAGGCGACGAUCCCUAGCUGGUCUGAGAGGAUGACCAGCCACACUGGAACUGAGACACGGUCCAGACUCCUACGGGAGGCAGCAGUGGGGAAUAUUGCACAAUGGGCGCAAGCCUGAUGCAGCCAUGCCGCGUGUAUGAAGAAGGCCUUCGGGUUGUAAAGUACUUUCAGCGGGGAGGAAGGGAGUAAAGUUAAUACCUUUGCUCAUUGACGUUACCCGCAGAAGAAGCACCGGCUAACUCCGUG
This 490-nucleotide ribosomal RNA is filed under the name uncultured bacterium. RNAcentral's name for it is "partial 16S ribosomal RNA". It matches the Rfam family "Bacterial small subunit ribosomal RNA", at positions 30 to 507 of the family's 1533-position model. The record is from RNAcentral.